AUUUUAACUGUGCUAAGGUAGCAUAAUCAUUAGUUUCUUUAUUGGGAACUGGAAUGAACGAUUGGACGAGAUAAUUUCUGUCUCUUUUUGAAUUGAUUUUUAAUUUUAUUUUUAAGUUAAAAAGCUUAAAUGAUUUUAAAAGACGAGAAGACCCUAUAGAAUUUUACAUUAUAUUGUUUUUAGUAAUUAAUGGAAAUGUUUAUUUGGGGUGACUUGAAGAUUUAACUAAUUCUUUAAAUUUUUUUAUUGAUGAUUAUUAAUUUUAAAUUUUAAUGAUUUUAAGAAUAAAAUAAAUUACCUUAGGGAUAACAGCGUAAUUUUCCUUUUAAGUUCUUAUUUUAAGGGAGGUUUGCGACCUCGAUGUUGGAUUAAAGUUAAUUUUUGGCGCAGUAGCUUAAAAAUUAGGUCUGUUCGACCUUUGAAACU
This 426-nucleotide ribosomal RNA is filed under the name Platerodrilus sp. UPOL YL0457. RNAcentral describes it as "partial 16S ribosomal RNA". It matches the Rfam family "Bacterial large subunit ribosomal RNA", at positions 1939 to 2595 of the family's 2925-position model. The record is from RNAcentral. Lineage: Eukaryota; Metazoa; Arthropoda; Insecta; Coleoptera; Lycidae.